Molecule: ribosomal RNA, 1181 nt
Filed under: Cyclograpsus lavauxi
Lineage: Eukaryota; Metazoa; Arthropoda; Malacostraca; Decapoda; Varunidae
Description: partial 16S ribosomal RNA
Source: RNAcentral
AAAUAACUUGUCAAAAGAAGUUCGAGUUUUACUUAUAAGAAAAAUAAUUUUAAAAUUAAAUUGUUAGUAAUUUUUAAUAAAAAUAAUCUUAGACUAUAGUUAAAAGUACUGUAAAGGAAAGUACAAAAAUUUAAAAUAGUAAGUUUAAAAUUCUGUACCUUGUGUAUCAGGGAAAGUUUAUAUAAAUUAAUAAUAUUAAAUAUCUCGAAAUAAAAGAUAGCUAAUUUUAUAAAAAAUUUUUUGUAGAAAAUAAAUUUUAAAUAUAAAAUUAAAGGUGAAACGCUAAUCGAGUUUUAUAAUAUCUAGUUCUUUAAAAAUAAAUUUAAUUUAAUUUUUAUGUGGUCAAAACAUAAAAGUAAAGUGUAGGAGGGAUUAGCUUCUUAUAAAAUAAAGUAAUAAAAAGUUAAAAAAAUAAUAAUAGUGAAUUAAGCUUAAGAGUAGCUAUAUUAAUAAAGUGUUUUAGCUAAAUUAAAGUUAAAUAAUAUUUGUAAAACCUUUUUGUAGUAUUAAAGAAUUAAUUUAAAUAAAAAAAAUUUAAUUAUAAUGAUUUUAUUAGUAAAAAUUUAUUAUAAACGAAAAUAAUAGAAUAACGAGGAUUAUUUAAAGUUAAUUUGGUAAUAUAAAGGAACUCGGCAAAAGUUAUUUUCUUUGCCUGUUUAUCAAAAACAUGUCUGUUUGAAGUUAUAGAAAGUUUAACCUGCCCACUGAUGAAUAAAUAAAAGUUGAAUGGCCGCGGUAUCUUGACCGUGCAAAGGUAGCAUAAUCGUUAGUUUUUUAAUUGGAAUCUUGUAUGAAUGGUUGGACAAAAGAAAAACUGUCUUUGUAUUGUUAAUUGAAUUUAACUUUUAAGUGAAAAGGCUUAAAUAUAUUAAAGGGACGAUAAGACCCUAGAAAGCUUAAUAUUAAAAUUUUAUUUAGUUGAAUUUUAAACCAUAAAGACUUAGUAAUUAAAUUUAUUUUAUUGGGGCGAUAAGAGUAAAAUGAUUGUUAACUGCUUAAUUUUUAAUACAUUAUAGAUGAUUAAAUUUUUAGAUGAUCCUAAUUGAAGAUUAAAAGUUUAAGUUACUUUAGGGAUAACAGCGUUAUUUUUUUUGAGAGUACUUAUCGAAAAAAAAGUUUGCGACCUCGAUGUUGAAUUAAAAUGUCUUUAUAAUUGCAGUAGUUAUAAAAGUAGGUCUGUU